This 90-nucleotide transfer RNA is filed under the name Alphaproteobacteria bacterium. RNAcentral describes it as "tRNA-Ser". It matches the Rfam family "tRNA". Rfam says of the family: Transfer RNA (tRNA) molecules are approximately 80 nucleotides in length. Their secondary structure includes four short double-helical elements and three loops (D, anti-codon, and T loops). Lineage: Bacteria; Pseudomonadati; Pseudomonadota; Alphaproteobacteria. RNAcentral also lists the same sequence under 1 other name. The record is from RNAcentral.
GGUGGGGUGCCGGAGUGGCUGAACGGGGCGGUCUCGAAAACCGUUGUGCGUGAAAGCGUACCGUGGGUUCAAAUCCCACCCCCACCGCCA